UAGCAACAACUUGAGGUACGUAGAAUGAUUAGAAAGAGAGUGAAGGACAAGUAAACAAAUUUGUAUCACCAGAUAAGCUUAUCUUCGAUCAUGAAUGAUCUCUCUUGUUAUAGCUUUUGCGGAGUGCAAUUAACAUAUUUCCGAUGCCUACCAUCUCAUGUUUGAAUCAAGUCAUGCGAUCACAUAUAUACUCCAAAAGAUAGAUAAUAUUAUAUUUCCUCGUUGUUAUAACGAUGUUACGA
RNAcentral lists this long non-coding RNA (242 nucleotides) under Musa acuminata (dwarf banana). RNAcentral describes it as "long non-coding RNA (MACU_LNC006558)". The record is from RNAcentral. Lineage: Eukaryota; Viridiplantae; Streptophyta; Magnoliopsida; Zingiberales; Musaceae.